CCUACGGGGGGCUGCAGUGAGGAAUAUUGGUCAAUGGACGAGAGUCUGAACCAGCCAAGUAGCGUGAAGGAUGACUGCCCUAUGGGUUGUAAACUUCUUUUAUAAAGGAAUAAAACGAGGCACGUGUGCCUUUUUGCAUGUACUUUAUGAAUAAGGAUCGGCUAACUCCGUGCCAGCAGCCGCGGUAAUACGGGGGAUCCGAGCGUUAUCCGGAUUGAUUGGGUUUAAAGGGAGCGUAGAUGGGUUGUUAAGUCAGUUGUGAAAGUUUGCGGCUCAACCGUAAAAUUGCAAUUGAUACUGGCAGUCUUGAGUACAGUUGAGGUAGGCGGAAUUCGUGGUGUAGCGGUGAAAUGCUUAGAUAUCACGAAGAACCCCGAUUGCGAAGGCAGCUUACUAAACUGUGACUGACAUUGAUGCUCGAAAGUGUGGGUAUCAAACAGGAUUAGAUACCCUUGUAGUC
This 460-nucleotide ribosomal RNA is filed under the name uncultured bacterium. RNAcentral's name for it is "partial 16S ribosomal RNA". It matches the Rfam family "Bacterial small subunit ribosomal RNA", at positions 338 to 795 of the family's 1533-position model. The record is from RNAcentral.